AGGAAUAUAGCUCAGUGGUAGAACACAUGCUUAGCAUGCAUAAGAUCCUGGGUCCAAUCCCCAAUACUGCCA
This 72-nucleotide transfer RNA is filed under the name Camelus bactrianus (Bactrian camel). It matches the Rfam family "tRNA". Rfam says of the family: Transfer RNA (tRNA) molecules are approximately 80 nucleotides in length. Their secondary structure includes four short double-helical elements and three loops (D, anti-codon, and T loops). Further hydrogen bonds mediate the characteristic L-shaped molecular structure. tRNAs have two regions of fundamental functional importance: the anti-codon, which is responsible for specific mRNA codon recognition, and the 3' end, to which the tRNAs corresponding amino acid is attached (by aminoacyl-tRNA synthetases). tRNAs cope with the degeneracy of the genetic code in two manners: having more than one tRNA (with a specific anti-codon) for a particular amino acid; and 'wobble' base-pairing, i.e. permitting non-standard base-pairing at the 3rd anti-codon position. RNAcentral also lists the same sequence under 3 other names. Lineage: Eukaryota; Metazoa; Chordata; Mammalia; Artiodactyla; Camelidae. The record is from Rfam by way of RNAcentral.